Molecule: long non-coding RNA, 670 nt
Filed under: Homo sapiens (human)
Lineage: Eukaryota; Metazoa; Chordata; Mammalia; Primates; Hominidae
Description: novel transcript
Rfam family: tRNA (bases 5-97)
Source: RNAcentral
CGUCCCUUCGAUAGCUCAGCUGGUAGAGCGGAGGACUGUAGCUACUUCCUCAGCAGGAGACAUCCUUAGGUCGCUGGUUCGAUUCCGGCUCGAAGGAGACAAGUGCGGUUUUUUUCUCCAGCUCCCGAUGACUUAUGGCACUUUCCUUGGGUGCCUUCAGUGACACAUUGCAUUCCAACGAGCAGUUUGAAAGUCUAGCGCUUUCUCCCCAUUUUGGGCCUCCCAGCCUGCACGGGACUCAUCUGAGGCUAAGCUGCCCAUAGUUCGGGGAGACCCACAGGGAAAACAAAACAAGAAACAGAGAACUUGGAAACGGACGCUGAUUACUUUGAACGUUUGCUCAACCGAGGAAGCAGGAACUGUUCGGCCCCAUCUCAAGUCCGCAGGGCGGACUGCCUGGCUCUGGGCAGAUCCGAGGUGGAUAGGACAAGGCAAAAGGUAGCCCUGGAGAGCUGUACUCUCCAUCUAACCAUAAGUUCUUUGUUCUGUUUGAUGAACAAAUGGCUCCUUAAACUAAGCCUGGAUUAUUUUCAAGUACCUGGACUUGCAAUUACCUGCACCAAAGAGACAAAAGAGAACAUGGGUGGAUACCUUUAUGGUGAAGGGAUUUGAAUUUAGCUUUUAAAUUGGAAUUUUUCAAAGACCACAACCCCAGCUGACAAAGAUGAAA